Gossypium arboreum is the source of this 129-nucleotide microRNA precursor. The record is from Rfam. Lineage: Eukaryota; Viridiplantae; Streptophyta; Magnoliopsida; Malvales; Malvaceae.
AUGAAAACAGCCUGUCUAGUUAGCCAAGGUGACUGCCUGGGACCCAACCAGGGUUUUUGAUGUAUUAAAACCUCGUGGACAUUAGGUGCAGGCAAGUCAUCCUUGGCUACCAAACAAGACUCUUUAUCU